GCCGUAGACGUGUAGAAGGUUUUUUUUUUUUUUGCUAGUCUCAGUGCACUUGCAGAACACAAUAGCCAUUGUUAGCUCCUCGCUGUUGCGUGUGGAGCAGACAGAAGCUCUCGGGGCAGUGUGUGCUCUGUCCCCCAGCCGUCACUCAGGGGACCCCUUUCCUGUGGUUUCACAACAGCGAGGGAGGCUGGAGCUGGACGGAAGCUUCCAAGGAGAGAUCAGCAAAACUGAGCUUUGGUGAGACCCUCUGCCCUGGUGGAAUGAGCAUGAGGCUUGGCAAAAGUCUGCCCUGAUGGCCGGUGUCUGGUUGGACAUGGCUGCAGUGGGCUGUGCGUUGUGGACAGCAUCAGUGUGCGGUGUGGACGGUCUUGGUGUUGUGUGGCCCUGCUUUGGAGAACUUCCCAUGAUGUGGAUCUGCUCUGUCCAAGAUGGGAGGCGGACACUCGCUUUCCCAGUGUGCCUUGCUGCUAGGUGCAGUCACGUGAGUUGGGCUUCACCAUUAAGAUGUGAGCACGGGGGAGAUUCUGAUGUGGAGGCACAGGAGGGAGCAGCUGGGGUGCAAGGGGUGUUUCUGGUGAUGGUGGUGGUGGAGGCGCCUGCGUCUGGGGGACAGCUGAUGGGGCAGUGGCUGCCCUUGAACAGCGCCUGAUGUUGAACGGACCUGCAGGGUCUGUGUCCAGGAGCAGUGGAAGCUCUGCUGGGGCAGUUCUCCAGUGUGGCUUGGAGUCGUCCAGUGCUGCUCAGCCACCCUGGACGUCUCGACCUGCCAAGUGUCCUCCCCUACGCUCUGCUGUUUCCAAAUGAUGCUCAGUCCAGCGUGGAUGGGAGUUCUUUCGUCACUGGGUAAGGACCCAGUGAGAAGACAUUCAGGAAGAGGGCCCUCACCAGAAACCAACCCUGCAUGGACCUGGACCUGGACCUGGACCUUGACCUUGACCUUGACCUUUCCAUCUGCAGAACUGGGAGCAGAUCAGAGCCCGUGGUCUGUGACGGCUGCCUGAGCUGCCUGAGACGGCGUCUCGUGUUUGCGCGCAGUCAGAGUAGAUACCCAGGCUCCUGCGGUGCUGCGCGGGCUGGGCUGCCCCUCCCGAAGCGGCGAGCUGCUCACUGCGGUCCGUGGUUGUCUCAGCCGGCAGCUCAGACCCAGCAUCGCAGGGUCUAGAAUUCCGCCUUCGUCCUUUGGGGUUAUGGUGGUUCUGUUUGGGGCAUCAUUUCCCUUUAUUUGUAAACUUGGAGUCGAAAAGUGAGCUCUUUCGUUAGUUAGCUCUAAGACAUCACAAAUGGGUGGACAGCAAAAUAAUCCCUCGCUGUCACUGUGAGUCCUACAAUCUCAUUUCCUUCCCCAGAAUCAAGGGUGGUUUGUGUGCUUUGUGCAUUUUUUCUCUUGUAUUAUAUAGCAGCGUUCAAGGGGACAUCGGGAAGUUUGGAAGAUAGGAAUUAAAUCUAAGUGCAAAGGGCCGGCGCUGUGGCGGAGCAGGUAAAGCCGCUGCCUGCAGUGCUGGCAUCCCCUAUGAUCGCCGGUUCAGGUCCCGGCUGCUCCACUUCCAUUCCAGCUCCCUUCUGAUUCACCUGGAAAGAGCAGGGGGAGAUGGCCAGGUGCUUGGGCCCCUGCACCCACGUGGGCGACCCAGAGGAAGCUCCUGGCUUCAGCCUGGCCCAGCUCCACCCACUGGGGCCAUGUGGGGAGUGAAGCAGUGGAUGGAAGACCUCUCUGUCUCUCCUUCCUCUCCCUCUCUAACUCUGCUUUUCAAAUAAAUAAAAUAAAUGUAAAAAAUAUAAGCACAAAAACAUUGAGACGCAUGCAGUGUUUUCAUAGUAUGCAUUUCACAUGACCUUUAUGGAGCCCCUUCUUUGCUUGGAUUUCAAUAUUUUUUGCACUAAAACAGACGCGUCUGUUAAUCUCAUUGCCACCACCUUUGUGACACCUGUCGCGUAGCAGCCCCCCCUUUCCUAACACACACACACACACACACACACACACGUGCGUGCUGAGUCACUCUGCGGAGUCGCUCUUCCUGAUGCUGUUUAGAAGUGCAGGGGUGUGCAGGAACCCCCCGGUGAUGGACACACUCCGUCUCCAGUGUGUCGCACGGCUGCUCCUCCCCUGUCAGUCUAGCAGGUGCCAGGGGUCAAAAGAAGCUUGAAGGUGAAUGGGAACGGAGUCGGGCAGGAAACUCAGCCUCCUCCCAAGCCUUGGCCAAAACGCCCCGCGGGGAUGCUGGGGAAAUUCUAUGGAGACAGCACUGUUCUGUCUCCUCACAGGCACCCAACAUCCCUUUUCUGAUCUUUUGUGUCUCACCUUACACAUCACUUCCUCCAGGAAGCCUUCCCUGACUGCUUUUUCUAAAACACUGUCUCUCAGAGCUCUUGACCUUCAGUUUCUGUUAGAGAAACUAGAGUGACUUCUUCUUAUCUUUUGAAUGGGGCUGUCCCCUUUCCUCGCCAUCAGAGACCUCGGUGUUUGCUGGGUGGAUCCCGAGGCCCAGGAAGUUGGUGACUGGCUCUCGCAUGUUUUGCAUCUCCAGUGCCUGGCCCUGGACCUCCAUCACCAGCUGUGGACGGUGCAGGAGGAUGCAGCCGGGCUGGGGAAGAAGCUUCGGGAUGCCCGGCGUGUGACCCUUCCCAGGUCCAGGGCUGUCCCCCUGGAGCACACCUCCCACGUGGGCCGCUGGGGAAGCUGAGGGGUGCACGCUGUGCCCUCGUCUCUCUCCGCGACCUUAUCUGAGCGCCUUGUCGCCGUGGCCGAUGUGACACCUGACUCAGCCUUUGCUUGGGAUCCCAAGGGUGCGAGGGAGGAACGGUCAAUCCCCCGAGGACGGCCCUGCCGCUCCUGCGGCUGCUCACCCUGGCGGGGUCUGCUUGCAGAGCGCGGCCCCCUGUGGUCCCGGGAGGGGGACGUUUCCUGGUUUCUCGGGUGCUUUUCAGGGGGCGAGGAGGGUCUUCUCGGGGCUUCCCUCUGCUCCUUUUCUGGAAAGUGCUCCGAGCCCAGUCCUGGGAGAGGGGGCUCCUGUGGGCACGGCGCCCUCCUGUCUCACGGCCUGUCCCAGCCAUGUUGCUGCUUUUCCUCUCUCCUCGUCAUGCUCUCUUUCCAAUACUGGGAAAGUAUUCUUUGCGAAUUUCUCCGUGUCGUAUCACUCCUAGCCGCCUUCGCAUUCUGUGAAACCCUGAAAUUACCGGAGAGGGAUUUGGAACCUGCGUGAACCGUGACAAAUCAAAUACCUUCGAAGGCUCGAACGUGAGAUGGGUGAGAGAGAUGGGGUCCACCUUGCAGAAAUGACAUUUUGUCGACUACGUUUUAACAGCAGGCUUUUUGCGAAGCUUCCGCCGCAGAGAGGUUUUCUCGUAACCUUCUGGUCUCUUCCACAGCCUUUCUGUCUUGUGAUUCGGGUAACUGAGCGUCACCUCCCCAGCGCUGGGGACAGAGCCAUCACCAUCCUUAAUGUGUGGCCUCUGAGAGAGAGGGAGACACAUCGCAGAAUACGUAUUUAAUUCUCUUCUUGUCUUCAAUUCUGCGGGAAUAAACAAAUGGAGUGAAGCAAUUUCUGCACUGCUAUGAUAUUAUAUGAUCCUAAAUUAUUCCCAUCCGCACUGUUGGGAGGAGAGACUAUAUUAUGUUAAUUCAUUAAGAUGUUUAUAGUUGGGAGUCUGUCCUCGCAGGAAAUGAAGCAAUUCAGAAAUUACAAAAUCCGAGGCAAAUAAGGCAGCAGCGAUGACAUCAGAGCGCUCCCAUCUUGGUCCCUGUUCCGAGAGCCUCUGGCCGUGGACACGGUCGCUCCAGCAACCCGGGACUGGCCCCUGCCUGGAAUGGGAGCACGUUCGGCUGUCUGUCUUACACGUGAACUUCUUAAGACAGCUGGGCUCUGAAGGCUGCCAGGGCUUCAGCAGGCAGGCAGCAGCAGGGGCAUGGGGUGCUCAGGGCUCUGACCCCCACCUGCCCCAAACACACGGGAACCUUGUGCUGCGGUCAGGGGGCCAGGAUUCCCUGUAAGGAGGAAGGAGUUGGGGGCAGAGGGGGAUCUAGAAGGUUCCUGGGGCAGCCCUGCCCCUCCCAACCUCACCUGUGGUCUCCGCAGCCCCUCUGGCACAUUCGGUGUCCGUGGUGAUGGGGCCUGGCAGCCCAUGACCGGGACCCCGGAUUCCCUUGUGGCUGGGUCUUUUCCCUAGUGGCAGGUGGCACGUCUUCUGCAGUGGGCACAAAGGCAGCGUCAUCUCAUCUCUUCUUGCGUUGACGAGGGGACAAUCUUGUCUGCAUUUUAGAAUCCUUACGUCUCCAACAGACGUGGGUAAGGCAGGGCGCGAGGCCAGGGGUCCUGAACACUGGCAGAGAGACGGAGUGUGCGAGUCCCGGGGUGGCACCCCUGUGGCUGCCACGGGAGUGAGGGAGCGAGGCCACGUGCGCUGCACCCAGCUGCCUGCUCUCGUCCUCGGCGCCUGAUGAAUUGGAGUGUGUCUUGCUGUUUUUCUGCGAGUCACGUCCUGUUUUAAUGAGGACAUUCCUUGUGCCCCCCACUGCUCCUGCGUAAGCCGGUCCCCUCCCUGCUCUUCCUGGCCAGGAUCCAGUUGCUGGGGGCGGCUCCUCCAUGUUGUGGGCUCCGGCUGGGGGUUUGCUUGCAUAGUGGAGACCAUCACUCCCCAUCCUCUCUCCCACAGUCACAGGCUCCCCAGUUGUGCCAGUCAGGCACCUGCACCAGCCGGGCAGCUGGAUGCAUUUGGACUCAUUGCAAAUCCAUGUGCUUUCGGUCUGCACCGCGCUAGCCCCUGACUCAGAGAAGUGACUCGCGUGGCAUCUCGCUGGUGGUUAGCUAAGGACAGAGAGCUGUGCCGCCACCUGGGGGUGUGCACAUCACAGUGGCGAGAUGGACAGAAGCCAUUCGAUGCUGCAGGGUGGAGCCAGGAGAUGGUCUGUGAGUUAGGACUUCAGAGAGGAGCGAUGUUUCCGCGGAGGGAGCUUGGACAAAGGCCAGAGGCGCCACGGCUCUGGGGACAGUCAUGGCGCAUGGUGGUUUGCACUGAUGAGAGAGCGUCAAGUGGAGACUUGACUACGGUGGCCUGGCCUUGCACUUGGUCUUUCUUUCUGUCUGUCUUUCUGUCUGUCUGUCUUUCUGUCUUUCUGUCUGUCUGUCUGUCUUUCUGUCUGUCUGUCUGUCUUUCUUUCCAGGUGGGGGAGAUGGAGUCGAUCCUGGUUUCAGAAGUGCCUGACUGGGGAAAAUGUGGCAGGGCACCAGAGACAAGGCUGCUGCCGGAACACAGAGAGUGUGUGAAGGUGCACAUGGCCCGCCGUGUCUAUACCGCCUGCUGCCUUUCCCAGCACUGGAUCCAAGGUUCCAGGGUGCGUCGUGUUUACCAUCUUAGAGCACGUGAUCCGCUGUGCUGCUUUGUGGUCACCUUUCAUACUGAAGCGUGGCUCUGCGGGGAUGCAGAUUGCUGUGUGUGUAGUCUCUCCUGUGUCUCAAGUCGCCAAGAACCAAGUCUGGCUUAGAAGAGGGUCCCAGGACAUACCGGAUGAGGGGUGAAUGAAGAAUGGGCAUUUUGCUGGAAAGAAAGCAGCUGGCCUUGGACAGAGUAGACGUGUCAGCUCCUGACCUCUUGGAAGGAGAAGGGUGGCUCUGAGAUCCUCCGCUUCCUUAGCCGAGUGCUGAGAUCUGACUUGGGGCAAGCAGGAGGAAAAUAUCCACGGGGAGUGAGUUCUGCCUGGUGGUGCAGAGUCUGAAUGCUUGUGUGAGAUCCAAGCUCACGUACUUGGCGUAUGGAUCUCGCUCAGCAGAGAGCUCGGGCGAGAAUGAACGUUUCCAUGGACUCCAGCCGUGGGGUUGAUGACGCCUCCUGGGGAGGAGAUGAGGGAGACACCCGGGGACGGGCACCUUUCCAUGUGCGCACCAGAGACGCCAGCUUGUGCCGGGGAAGAUUUUUGGCUGUUCACUUUGGCGUUACUGGGAGGACCUUUCAAGGAUGAAGGAGAAAGGAAGACAUCCCCAGAAAAAUACAAGACCAAGGAGUUCAUCGCCUGCAGGCCCAGCUAUGAGAAAGGCUCAAGAAAUCUUUCUGGCAGGCAGUAGCUCAAAGCUGUCUGAAGAAAUAAAGAGUAGUGGUGAAAGUGACUGCAUUGAAGCCAUCUAUUACAUUCUAGCUGGCGACAGAAAACGCUGAACAAUAAAAGGUAAAGCUGCCGUUAUCAAAGCAAGAAUAAUGGUUUUAAAAUAUGCAUUAUUGACUUCUAUAGUUGACUGAAAUUGGGUAUCCCAGGCAUGAAAUCGCCAAAUGAACAAAGCGUCCUUGACUUUCACUAAAAUUAAAAAGCAGAAAUUCCGACUGCUUUGUGCAUUGUCCCUCCAAUCCAAUAAUACAUCUGCUUUAUUCCUUUUGUUUGAAAAGCUGGAAGAUACCUCAGCUGAGCAUGCAACCCUGAAAUUAUUAUUGUUCACUCCAUAUGUAAUGAUGCAUAAAGUUAAAACACCCUGGGACUGGUGCUGUGGAGAGCAGGGUAAGCCACUGUCUGCAGCACCGGCAUCCCAUAGGGGUGCCGGUUUGAGUCCUGGCUGCUCCUCUUCCAGUCCUGCUCCCUGCUAAUGCACCUUGGAAAGCAGUGGAAGAUGCCUCUAAGUACUUGGGCCCCUGCAUCCACAUAGGAGACACGGUUGAAGCUUUUGGCUUCUGGCUUUGUCCUGGCCCAGCCCUGGCCAUUGCAACCAUUGGGGGGAUGAACCAGCAAAUGGAAGAUCUAUCCCUCUCUCUGUGUAACUCUGCCUUUCAAAUAAACUAAUAAAUCUUUUACAAAGAAACAAGUGGAGACUUGGUUAAGGAUGCUGUUGUGUGUCAAACGGUUAUCAGACUGAAGUCCCGGGCUGCACAGCUGGAUCCCUUUCUUAGAGGGACAGGUUGUAGUGUGUGGUCUUUGUUCACAGUUAGCUACGAAGGCAAGAGUGGUGUGCUCAACUGGUGACAUUCCCUUUCUCCUUUGAAACUAAUGUCAAUAGCUAGCCAACAUUUCUCGGUGCAGGUGUAGUGAAUUCUAUUCACAAUUAUUUUCUACUUUCUUCUCUGUAGCCUUGGUAUGUUUCCUUGCCUCAUCGACAUUGAGGUUGGCCAUGGACAUUUCUUUGGUUGAAGGAAUUCAUUUGAGUGGGAAGCUUUAAGGCACCUGGUUCAGUAUCUCUCCUUCUAGGCCUUCAUCAAGAGUCUGGAAUGUUCCAGGCUGUGGGUUUUUUCUUCACCCUGGGGUCUGGCCUGAGAAGCCACAUGGAGCUGUGCCUUGCAGAGUCAGGACUGAUGGCAGAUGCCUUGGUUCCUGAGUAAGCAAUGCGUGUUUAUUCUGGAAAUCAGAGAUGUUGGCCUGUUUGUUUCUUGGCAAACGCUGAUGAUCACCGGCAGAGGAAGACUUCUCUUCUCCUUGCCAGUAUUGCAGUGUUUACAGAACACAGUGCCUGAGAGGUGGGCUCACUCAGAGAGGUGAGUCCUUGGCCACAGGGCGUGGGGACUUCCUUUCAUUCGGGCAUCCCAGCAUUUAGCCCAGGGUAAGACCAAUGAAUGCUUGAUGAAUAACCAGUUAUCUUCUGCUGCACGUUGCAUUUCCUGCCCCUCAUAGGGACUGCUUUAACUCCCCAUGGAUUCUCCUCAGGGUCUCUCUUGAUCUUUAUAUUCUGUAACAUUUUUCAAAAGAUUUAUUUUAUUUAUUUGAGAGGUCUUGCAUCUGUUGGUUCACUCCCCAAAUGGCUGCAAUGGCUGGAGCUGCACCAGAUGAAGCCAGGAGCCUCUUCCAGGUCUCCCACGUGGGUGCAGGUGCUCAAGGAUUUGGGCCGUCUUCCACUGCUUUCCCAGGUGCAUUAGUAGGGAACAGGACUGGAAGUGGAGCAGCCGGGACUGGAACCGGUGUCCAUAUUGGAUUCUGGUGCUGCAGGCUGUGGGUUAGCCUUCUUUGCAACAACGCUGGUUCCAUUCUAUAACAUCUUAAAGUAGCACUUGUAAAAAAGGAAAGCGUAUACAGAAAUAAUACUAUGAAAAACAGUAGUAGCAUAUAUACAUGCAGUCAUUUGAAGCUGACAGACCCUGGGCUACUGUGUCUCUCAUUUAAAUUUCACAAACAAAACCACGCACUAUUUUUUCUUUGUUUUUGCACGGAAGGCAGACUAAGCUCUAAGGUCUGCAGCUGGUGGAUAGUUAAAUUCAGGGUUCUCAGUUCAGUUCUCUGAUUAGAGAAUUGAAUUCUGAGACCAUUGUCUCUUCAUGUACUGUGCAUCAGUUAAGUGGAAUCGGAAGCCUAAAGGACUUGAUGUUCCAUGUUGUCCUUGGAGCAGCUGCCACGUAUCGACCCGGGGACAGGGUCCAGUUCUAUCACACUGCCCCGGGUUGGCCGGGUCUUGGUGCUGGAGACACAAAACAUCAGACACCUUGUGUUUUUCCUCUUCUCUUGGGUUCACCCAGGCUAGAGAUGAUCUUUGAGGAGAGCUUUUCUCCCUGACAGUUUUUUUGUUUAACUCUGAAAAGUGCACAAGGAUUAAUGAGACAAUUGACUACAAAGCGCUUUGAUCCCUGGGGAGCCAGGAAGUGAUUCAAGUGCCAGAAGUGAUUCCCUUACUGAAGGCAGCCCUGGGCCUUUGAAUAGAAGCCCUCUUGGAAAUACCACACCGAGACUGUGCUGAAAAGUCAAACCAGUUCCAAGCAGCUGAGUGAGGCCGAGAUGUCUCCCCCUGAAAUGAGCUGUGAGAGGCUGGGAAAAGAAUUUCAGAUUGACAGUUUGAGCCAGGAAGGACCCCGACCAUCCAGCCUAUGACCAUUGAUCUGAACAAAUGGGGGAACGUGGCCAGAGUGCAAAGCUGCCAGGUGAAGUGUCCUGCCCCAGGUCCCACGGUGCGCCGGGGUUACCAGAAAGCACGGGGAGCCUGGGUGCCACCCGGAGGUGCUAAGUUGGGUAAGUGGGCAGGAUGUGACCCAGGCCUGAAUGGGUGGCUGGCUCGGAGGAGGCACAGGGCUGAAGGAAGUAGGGUGCACAUGGCUAAUGCUGUGAGUUCCCAACUUUGAAGGUGGAAAUAUAUACGGGGAGCAAGAUUUCGGCACCUAAUUCCAUCAUGUAGGCUCCACGGACCAGGCAGAACCUAGUAUCUAUUGAUACUCUCACAGCCUCUUCUGUCACUCCAACCCUGACUUCCAUCAUUCUGCAAACAAACAUGGUGUCUCACGUGAGGGGAGCCUUGGAACGAGUCCUAAGUUCUUGGCAAAGGAGAACAAGUAAAAUCGAGAACAUUAUUUCCUACACCAAGGAGAUAGGAAGCUAGCAAAAACAAGAUCCAUCAUGGAGACUUAUCUGUGUUCCUAUCACAACUGUCCACACGCAACCAGCCUGCCUUCCUACCAUCAACACGAGCCCUUGCUACUGGGUGGAUCCUGAGAACGCGCAGGGGAGGGAGAAGGGCAUGGUGGCUCAUAGAAGGCAGAGCCUGAUUCUAGCGAAGAGAUGCUCAUAGGAAAUCUAACCGAUGUCUUUAUUGGGCUUCCUGUGCGUUAACUUCAUGCAAGAGUUUGACACGUAGUAGCUUAUUUAAUCCUCACCACUGUCGGAGGUAGUAGUCUCCAUGGCAACAGUCAUCUCUCCUUACAUCUCCUGGCUCUGUUUUCCUCUGUCUCAGCUGGAUUCUUGGGGAACUCUUCAGAGUGGUUGCAUUGAUGAUGUGCAGAGCCUACUGGAGCCCAAAGCAAGAGAACAAGUUAAUCUAAUCCUGAUUGCCUACUGUAAAAUGGUGACAUAUUGUCGAUCGAUCAUGGGGUUUUUUCGUGUUAAUUUUACUUUUCAUUAAGAAUUAAGUAAUUAUGGGUCUUGAAUACUGGUUUUUUUUUUUAUGGGGUGUGGGGUGUGGAGGUUACCCUUAGAUUUUGCACCUGAGCAAAUAAAUGUCUCACUUUAACCAAGUUCCAGCCUUGAAGAACACCUUUAGUUGCAAAAGAGCUUUCUUGGGGGCUGGUGCUGUGGCGUAGCAGGUAAAGCUGCUGUCUGCAAUGCAGGUAUCCCAUAUGGACACCGGUUCGAGUCCCAGCUGUUCCUCUUCCAAUCCAGCUCUCUGCUAUGGCCUGGGAAAGCAGUAGAAGAUGGCUCAAGUCCUUGGGCCCCCUGCAUCUACGUGGGAGACCCAGAAGAAACUUCUGGGUUCGCAUUGGCAACAGUUCCGGCUGUUGUGGCCAACUGGGGAGUGAACUAGUGGAUGGAAGACCUCUCUUUCUGUCUCUGCCUCUCUGUAA
Oryctolagus cuniculus (rabbit) is the source of this 10227-nucleotide non-coding RNA. NCBI's taxonomy places the organism in Eukaryota, Metazoa, Chordata, Mammalia, Lagomorpha, Leporidae. The record is from RefSeq and is a predicted model, not a curated record.